CAAUAGCGUAUAUUAAAGUUGUUGCAGUUAAAAAGCUCGUAGUUGGAUUUCUGGUCGGAAGCUCCUGUCCUCUGAUGAGCGUACAAGUGCGUCCUACCAUCCUUCUGUUAACCUUUAAGGCUUUCGCGGCUUUCUAGGGGCUCAGAUAUUUUACCUUGAGAAAAUUAGAGUGUUUCAGGCAGGCUAGCGCCGGAAUACAUUAGCAUGGAAUAAUGGAAUAGGACUUUUGCCUCUUCUGUUGGUCAUGAGGCUCGAGUAAUGAUUAAUAGGGAUAGUUGGGGGCAUUAGUACUUAACUGUCAGAGGUGAAAUUCUCGGAUUUGUUAAAGACGGACUACUGCGAAAGCAUUUGCCAAGGAUGUUUNCAUUG
Molecule: ribosomal RNA, 369 nt
Filed under: uncultured eukaryote
Lineage: Eukaryota
Description: partial 18S ribosomal RNA
Rfam family: Eukaryotic small subunit ribosomal RNA
Source: RNAcentral